This 274-nucleotide ribosomal RNA is filed under the name uncultured bacterium. RNAcentral describes it as "partial 16S ribosomal RNA". It matches the Rfam family "Bacterial small subunit ribosomal RNA", at positions 523 to 796 of the family's 1533-position model. The record is from RNAcentral.
AUACGGAGGGGGCUAGCGUUGUUCGGAAUUACUGGGCGUAAAGCGCGCGUAGGCGGAUCGUUAAGUUAGGGGUGAAAGCCCGGAGCUCAACUCCGGAACUGCCCUUGAUACUGGCGAUCUCGAGUCCGGGAGAGGUGAGCGGAAUUCCUAGUGUAGAGGUGAAAUUCGUAGAUAUUAGGAGGAACACCAGUGGCGAAGGCGGCUCACUGGCCCGGUACUGACGCUGAGGUGCGAAAGCGUGGGGAGCAAACAGGAUUAGAAACCCUAGUAGUCC